GGACAAGCGUUAUCCGGAUUCACUGGGCGUAAAGAGCGUUGAGGCGGUUCCGUAAGUUGGGCGUGAAAGCUCCGGGCUUAACUCGGAGAUGUCGUUCAAUACUGCGGGGCUUGAGGACAGCAGAGGAAGGUGGAAUUCCCGGUGUAGUGGUGAAAUGCGUAGAUAUCGGGAGGAACACCCGUGGCGAAGGCGGCCUUCUGGGCUGUUCCUGACGCUGAAGGCGAAAGCUAGGGGAGCGAACGGGAUUAGAUACCCCGGUAGUCCUAGCUGUAAACGAUGGAUGCUGGGUGUGGGGGGUGUAAAUUCCCUCUGUGCCGAAGCAAACGCGUUAAGCAUCCCGCCUGGGGACUACGGCCGCAAGGCUAAAACUCAAACGAAUUGACGGGGGCCCGCACAAGCAGCGGAGCGUGUGGUUUAAUUCGAUGCUACACGAAGAACCUUACCUGGGUUUGACAUGCACGUGGUAGGGAACCGAAAGGGGACCGACCUUCGGGAGCGUGCACAGGUGCUGCAUGGCUGUCGUCAGCUCGUGCCGUGAGGUGUCGGGUUAAGUCCCGUAACGAGCGCAACCCUUGCCCUUAGUUACAAGUGUCUAAGGGGACUGCCCGGGACAACUGGGAGGAAGGUGGGGAUGACGUCAAGUCAGCAUGGCCUUUAUAUCCAGGGCUACACACACGCUACAAUGGCCGGUACAAUAGGUUGCGAAGUCGUGAGGCGGAGCCAAUCCUCAAAACCGGUCUCAGUUCGAAUUGCAGUCUGCAACUCGACUGCAUGAAGCUGGAGUUGCUAGUAAUCGCAGGUCAGCUAUACUGCGGUGAAUACGUUUCCCGGGC
This 833-nucleotide ribosomal RNA is filed under the name uncultured Chloroflexota bacterium. Its description in RNAcentral is "bacterial SSU rRNA". It matches the Rfam family "Bacterial small subunit ribosomal RNA", at positions 532 to 1379 of the family's 1533-position model. Lineage: Bacteria; Bacillati; Chloroflexota. The record is from RNAcentral.